Molecule: ribosomal RNA, 433 nt
Filed under: uncultured bacterium
Lineage: Bacteria
Description: partial 16S ribosomal RNA
Rfam family: Bacterial small subunit ribosomal RNA
Source: RNAcentral
AACGAACGCUGGCGGCAUGCCUAACACAUGCAAGUCGAACGAGACCGUCCGGUCUAGUUGCGCACGGGUGCGUAACGCGGGGUAACCUGCCCGUAGGUUCGGAAUCACUCCCCGAAAGGGGUGCUAAUACCGGAUAAUGUCUUCGGACCAAAGAUUUAUCGCCUUUGGAUGGGCCCGCGUUGGAUUAGCUAGUUGGUAGUGUAAAAGCCUACCAAGGCGACGAUGCAUAGCUGGUCUGAGAGGAUGAUCAUGCACACUGGGACUGAGACCCGGCCCAGACUCGUACGGGAGGGAGCAGUAGAGAAUAUUGGGCAAUGAGCGCAAGUCUGAUACAGCCAUGCGGCGUGAGUGAUGAAGGGCUUAGGGUUGUAAAGCUCUUUUACCCGGGAUGAUAAUGACAGUAACGGGAGAAUAAGCUCCGGCUAACUACGUG